Molecule: ribosomal RNA, 626 nt
Filed under: uncultured bacterium
Lineage: Bacteria
Description: bacterial SSU rRNA
Rfam family: Bacterial small subunit ribosomal RNA
Source: RNAcentral
AGGGUUUGAUCCUGGCUCAGGAUGAACGCUGGCGGCGUGCUUAACACAUGCAAGUCGAACGAACCUUCGGGUUAGUGGCGGACGGGUGAGUAACGCGUGAGAAUCUGCCCUCAGGAGGGGGAUAACGGUUGGAAACGACCGCUAAUACCCCAUAUGCCUACUGGUGAAAUGAAUUUCGCCUGAGGAUGAGCUCGCGUCUGAUUAGCUAGUUGGUGAGGUAAUGGCUUACCAAGGCUUCGAUCAGUAGCUGGUCUGAGAGGAUGAUCAGCCACACUGGGACUGAGACACGGCCCAGACUCCUACGGGAGGCAGCAGUGGGGAAUUUUCCGCAAUGGGCGAAAGCCUGACGGAGCAACGCCGCGUGAGGGACGAAGGCCUCUGGGCUGUAAACCUCUUUUCUCAAGGAAGAAGAUAUGACGGUACUUGAGGAAUAAGCCACGGCUAAUUCCGUGCCAGCAGCCGCGGUAAUACGGGAGUGGCAAGCGUUAUCCGGAAUUAUUGGGCGUAAAGCGUCCGCAGGCGGCUUUUCAAGUCUGCUGUUAAAGCGUGGAGCUUAACUCCAUCAUGGCAGUGGAAACUGAAAGGCUUGAGUAUGGUAGGGGCAGAGGGAAUUCCCGGUGUAGCGG